AGAGUUUGAUCCUGGCUCAGAACGAACGCUGGCGGCGUGGAUUAGGCAUGCAAGUCGCGCGAUCCCCGCAAGGGGAUAGCGGCAAAAGGGUGCGUAACACGUGGGUAAUUUACCCUUUCGAUGGGCAUAACUUCACGAAAGUGAAGCUAAUACCCAAUUUGACCACCGGUACACAUGUACCGGCGGUAAAAGGUGGCGAUGCUUCGGCAGCUACCGCGAAUGGAAGAGCCCGCGGCCUAUCAGCUAGUUGGUGAGGUAACGGCCCACCAAGGCGAAGACGGGUAGCUGGUCUGAGAGGAUGGUCAGCCACACUGGGACUGAGACACUGCCCAGACUCCUACGGGAGGCUGCAGUCGAGGAUCUUUUGCAAUGGACGAAAGUCUGACAAUGCGACGCCGCGUGAGCGAUGAAGGCCUUCGGGUCGUAAAGCUCUGUUUGCCUGGAAGAAAUACUUUGGUCGAAUAGCCCAAAGGGAUGACGGUACGGGCAGAGGAAGCCACGGCUAACUCCGUGCCAGCAGCCGCGGUAAUACGGAGGUGGCAAGCGUUGUUCGGAAUUACUGGGUGUAAAGGGUAUGUAGGCGGUAGAGGAAGUUGAAUGUGAAAUCCUUUGGCUCAACCAAAGAACUGCAUUCAAAACUGCUCUACUUGAGUUCGGGAGAGGAGAGCGGAAUUCCCGGUGUAAGAGUGAAAUCUGUAGAGAUCGGGAGGAACACCAGUGGCGAAAGCGGCUCUCUGGACCGAUACUGACGCUGAAAUACGAAAGCUAGGGGAGCAAACAGGAUUAGAUACCCUGGUAG
RNAcentral lists this ribosomal RNA (799 nucleotides) under uncultured bacterium. RNAcentral's name for it is "bacterial SSU rRNA". It matches the Rfam family "Bacterial small subunit ribosomal RNA", at positions 8 to 793 of the family's 1533-position model. The record is from RNAcentral.